RNAcentral lists this ribosomal RNA (223 nucleotides) under uncultured bacterium. RNAcentral's name for it is "partial 16S ribosomal RNA". It matches the Rfam family "Bacterial small subunit ribosomal RNA", at positions 524 to 746 of the family's 1533-position model. The record is from RNAcentral.
UACGUAGGCUCCAAGCGUUGUUCGGAAUUACUGGGCGUAAAGCGAGUGUAGGCGGCUUGCCAAGUCGAUUGUGAAAUCUCCCGGCUCAACCGGGAGGGUGCGGUCGAAACUGACAAGCUGGAGUUCGGGAGAGGAGAGUGGAAUUCCUGGUGUAGCGGUGAAAUGCGUAGAUAUCAGGAGGAACACCGGUGGUGAAGACGGCUCUCUGGACCGAUACUGACGC